CAUAUAGUUGACACGUAGAGAGGAUGUCAACAAAAAUGUACAAGUAACUUAAUUGAACUGUGAAUGCAGCAAUAUCCAUCUUUUAGCUUGGACUAAAAUGCAAGGUUGAUGACAAAAUUGUACCUUUUCAGAGAUUGGGAUCGAUUUAGGUACCAAGGCGAUCGCUGUAAGACUAAUGGUGCAAUUUUCCCUAAAUAAUUUC
This 202-nucleotide long non-coding RNA is filed under the name Olea europaea (common olive). RNAcentral describes it as "long non-coding RNA (OEUR_LNC011036)". The record is from RNAcentral. Lineage: Eukaryota; Viridiplantae; Streptophyta; Magnoliopsida; Lamiales; Oleaceae.